RNAcentral lists this ribosomal RNA (253 nucleotides) under uncultured bacterium. Its description in RNAcentral is "partial 16S ribosomal RNA". It matches the Rfam family "Bacterial small subunit ribosomal RNA", at positions 524 to 776 of the family's 1533-position model. The record is from RNAcentral.
UACAGAGGGUGCGAGCGUUGUCCGGAAUCACUGGGCGUAAAGGGCGCGUAGGUGGCGACCCAAGUCGAUGGUGAAAGCUCGCCGCUUAACGGCGAGUCGGCCACCGAUACUGGGUUGCUCGAGCACUGUAGAGGCUCAUGGAAUUCCGGGUGUAGCGGUGGAAUGCGUAGAGAUCCGGAAGAACACCGGUGGCGAAGGCGGUGAGCUGGGCAGUUGCUGACACUGAGGCGCGACAGCGUGGGGAGCAAACAGG